AAUCUCACAAUAGGGAUGUCCCGAUAAAAUUGGAACAAUAAAGAGAAGAUGAACAUAGUCCCUACACAAGGAUGACACACACAAAUCAAGAAAUGGUAUAAGAGUCA
Molecule: small nuclear RNA, 107 nt
Organism: Cucurbita pepo subsp. pepo (vegetable marrow)
Lineage: Eukaryota; Viridiplantae; Streptophyta; Magnoliopsida; Cucurbitales; Cucurbitaceae
Source: RefSeq, a predicted model, not a curated record